UUGAUUCUCUCUUAUUCCUAGUCAUUCAAAUCAAAAAUGGCAGGCUGCAAGUGGGUUGUAGUAUGCCUGAGUGCAUCCAAAUUUGGGCUUUAGCUCACAAAGGUUAUGCAAGCAGAGUAUGAACUGAUGGGCUUGAAGAUUAUUGAGCAAGCAGCAACUCAAGUUAGAGGCUUUUCAGUGAAAGGUAGGCUACCUGGUGUGAGUUUUGUUUUUUUUCCAACAGGUGCUUAUUUUUCAGGCAGUGCAGCAGUACAAUAGAGUGUUGGACCUGGCAUUAGGAAGUGAUGAAUUCAAAUCAUGCCUCAGAUACUUGCUAGCUGUGUGACCCUGGGCUAGGAGCAAUGAAGUUUCUGAAUGUUUGACACAAAGCUUUAAGAAAGGUUCCAUAUGCUGUGGAUUUCACUCUUGAUAUCACUGAAUUUAAUGAGAAAAUGGAAAUAUCAAGAAAGGUGGAGCUGCAACAAUCUCUGAAGAUUAGAAAAUUACACAUCCCUCUUAGUUUUCCUGGCUUCCUUCAAGACUCAAUUCAAAGCAGAUCUUCUGCAAGAGGCUACUCCUGGUCCCCACCAGCUACUAGCACUUCCCUUUCUCUAAUCACCUUCCAUUUAUUUUCUAUAUAACGUGUCAUUCCCUCAGCAUUUACAAGCUGUCCACCCUAUUCACAUGUUAGUUCUAUGAUAGCUUGGACUCUUUUUGCCUUUCUCUUAUUUUUCUAGUUCUUGGAACAGUAUCUGGUACGUAUUGUUCAGUUAUUCAAUCAUGUCCAAUCCAUGAAUGAGUCCCCAUGGACAAGUUUCCUUGGAAAAGAUGUUGGAAUAGUUUGCUAUUUCCUAGUCCAUUGUGUUCCCAUUUUACAGGGAAGAAACUAAGGCAAAUAGGAAUUAUGUGAUUUGCCCAGGGUCACACUAGUAAGCUACUUAGGCAGGGUUUAAAUUUGGAUCCAACUCCAGGUGAGUACUCUACCUGCUGCACUACCUAGCUGCCCACAGUUAGCAUUUAAUAAAAACUUA
Molecule: long non-coding RNA, 1010 nt
Filed under: Monodelphis domestica (gray short-tailed opossum)
Lineage: Eukaryota; Metazoa; Chordata; Mammalia; Didelphimorphia; Didelphidae
Description: lncRNA (ENSMODG00000040225.1)
Source: RNAcentral